UACGGAGGGUGCAAGCGUUAUCCGGAAUCACUGGGUUUAAAGGGUGCGUAGGCGGUGGCGUAAGUCAGUUGUGAAAUUCCCCGGCUUAACCGGCGGGACUGCGAUUGAUACUGCGUCACUUGAAUCAGGAUGAGGUAGGCGGAAUGUGACAUGUAGCGGUGAAAUGCUUAGAUAUGUCAUAGAACACCGAUUGCGAAGGCAGCUUGCUGGACCUGUAUUGACGCUGAGGCACGAAAGCGUGGGGAGCAAA
This 250-nucleotide ribosomal RNA is filed under the name uncultured bacterium. RNAcentral's name for it is "partial 16S ribosomal RNA". It matches the Rfam family "Bacterial small subunit ribosomal RNA", at positions 524 to 772 of the family's 1533-position model. The record is from RNAcentral.